RNAcentral lists this ribosomal RNA (369 nucleotides) under uncultured organism. RNAcentral describes it as "bacterial SSU rRNA". It matches the Rfam family "Bacterial small subunit ribosomal RNA", at positions 526 to 896 of the family's 1533-position model. The record is from RNAcentral.
CGGAGGGUGCAAGCGUUAUCCGGAUUCACUGGGUUUAAAGGGAGCGUAGGUGGCUUUGUAAGUCAGUGGUGAAAUAUCGCGGCUCAACCGCAAAACUGCCAUUGAUACUGCUUAGCUUGAAUCACGUCGAGGUGGAUGGAAUAAUACAUGUAGCGGUGAAAUGCUUAGAUAUGUAUUAGAACACCGAUUGCGAAGGCAGUUCACUAGGCGUGUAUUGACACUGAGGCUCGAAAGCGUGGGGAUCAAACAGGAUUAGAUACCCUGGUAGUCCACGCCCUAAACGAUGUAAACUCGACAUUAGCGAUAUACUGUUAGUGUCCAAGCGAAAGCGUUAAGUUUACCACCUGGGAACGUACGACCGCAAGGUUG